Molecule: ribosomal RNA, 208 nt
Filed under: uncultured bacterium
Lineage: Bacteria
Description: partial 16S ribosomal RNA
Rfam family: Bacterial small subunit ribosomal RNA
Source: RNAcentral
CUCGUAGGCGGUUCAGUAAGUCGGGUGUGAAAACUUUGGGCUUAACCCAAAGCGUGCAUCCGAUACUGCUGUGACUUGAGUUCGGUAGGGGGAGUGGGGAAUUCCUAGUGUAGCGGUGAAAUGCGCAGAUAUUAGGAGGAACACCGGUGGCGAAGGCGCCACUCUGGGCCGAAACUGACGCUGAGGAGCGAAAGCAUGGGUGCAAACA